This 24-nucleotide non-coding RNA is filed under the name Arabidopsis thaliana (thale cress). Lineage: Eukaryota; Viridiplantae; Streptophyta; Magnoliopsida; Brassicales; Brassicaceae. The record is from RNAcentral.
AUAGGUGUGUAUGUGAGAGGUACA